Molecule: long non-coding RNA, 1472 nt
Organism: Prionailurus viverrinus (fishing cat)
Lineage: Eukaryota; Metazoa; Chordata; Mammalia; Carnivora; Felidae
Exons: 4
Source: RefSeq, a predicted model, not a curated record
GGUCUGCGUAGAAACCCGGCGGAUCGCGUGGCCUCGUAAAUCCCCCAGACAUUACUGAUGUAGAUGCUUUGGCCGGCUGCCAUGGGAAAAUCGCACACAAAUAGAAGAAGGGCGGGGGGAGCACAUUCACUCUCGAAUUCUGGUGGGUUCUGGGCUCCGUGUGUUUGGAUCUGUAAACGGAGGGGGUUGGGCUCGCCACGAUGAUCAUUUAAGGUCCCUCACAGCUUGGACUUUCUCAGAUUCCACUUCCCUCCGGAGGGCCGCCCGGAGCUCUCCCUGUCCGGCUCAGGGACGGGGGUCUGCGGAAACAGAAACAGGGGGAAGAUCUCCGGCUGAAAAUCCGGAAGCUUCUCCAGCAUAUCCUAUGGGCUCCUUCACAGAAAGAAGAUGAGAUCGCUCGCUUGGAAUGCAGCGUGGCUCUGGUCUUCGGGCUCUCGGGCAUGAAUUGUGACGCUUGUCUGUAAACCUCGUUCCCUUGGACACGUCCUUACAGGAGCUGAUAACGAAUGAAGGAAUCAGUGUUUCACGGGACACAUUUUGGGAAAUGCUCCUUUCAGCCAAAAGAGUGUCCGGACCCUUGCACAGUUUCCAUUGCUGAUGGGACCUUCUGAGCACUGUCAACAUACCCACAGAGAAGGGGUUUCCAACUCACGUAAUCACACUCUCCAGUCAGAUGUGGAACAAGAAAAUACUUCCCAGAAAUGCAAAGAAGAAAACAAACCAAGUUCAUUGCCUUGGGUAACAUGAGUUCUUGCCCAUUUGAAAUGGGAUCUUAAUCUUCCUAGAAGAUCUCUUUCUAGAUUUCUUCUAGAAAGAGAGGACACGCCAUACCUUAGACAGUGUAGUUACGGGCAGGUGCUCUAUCACCUGGUACUGAGUCCCACUGCCAUCUACAAGAUUUAACAAUCAGUUGUAAGAACAUCUAACGUGAAGAAAUGUUUAAGAACUCAAGGGGUCUCUUGGGAUUGGAGGUCCAUCCAUUCCUGGAAAGGUUGAGAUAAGUCACGUGAUGCCUUUUCUGUAACCCCAACAUUUCUCCAAGGAAAUCUUUGAAGUAAAAAGUUCACAAAAGAGUAGACUGAGGACUGCAGCGGAGACAGUGGGGGGGGGGGGGGGCGGGGGGAUGUUCCAUGGUUCCCUUCACUGUAGAGGCUGUUGGGAACAGGGGUUCAGUAAAGCAGACUGGAAUUUCCAGGAUCUGGUGCACGGAUAAUGUUCUUUCACCUUUGGAUGUGUCCUUAGGUGACUGGACAGUGAGUAGCAGGUCUCAAAGAAGAGUCUGAUAUAGCAUCUGCCCUAGACCAGGAAGGAUGGGGCCAGGGCCCAGGAAACGGGUCUAGGCCCAGAGCGAACAUCUUUGUCCUCAGUUCUGUUAAAAGAUGGUGUCGGGGCGCCUGGGUGGCUCAGUCAAUUGGGCAUCCGCCUUUGGUUCCGGUCAUGAUCUUGCAGUUUGUGAGUUUUGGCCCCGUGUU